UCAAACUUGGUCAUUUAGAGGAAGUAAAAGUCGUAACAAGGUUUCCGUAGGUGAACCUGCGGAAGGAUCAUUACAGAUUACUUUCAAAAAUAAAAUUGGGGUUAGGUUGUUGCUGGCUUUUAAAGCACGUGCACAUUUUGCUUCAGUUUUUUUUUGACCACCUGUGCACCUUGUGUAGGUCUCGAACAUUUUGUUUCUCAGUUGAGGACUAAAAACAAAAACUUCCUCAACUGGUUUGAGAAAGAUGUCUCAAAUAAUGUAGACUCUUCUUGCGAAAAGUUCAGAUCUAUGUUACUUUUUCAAUCCACACACACAUUUGUUGUUAUUCAGAAUGAUUGAUUUGUAAUAAAAACAACUUUCAACAACGGAUCUCUUGGCUCUCGCAUCGAUGAAGAACGCAGC
This 402-nucleotide unclassified non-coding RNA is filed under the name uncultured fungus. Its description in RNAcentral is "partial contains small subunit ribosomal RNA, internal transcribed spacer 1, and 5.8S ribosomal RNA". The stretch from base 1 to 73 matches the Rfam family "Eukaryotic small subunit ribosomal RNA", at positions 1759 to 1831 of the family's 1831-position model. The record is from RNAcentral. Lineage: Eukaryota; Fungi.